Small nucleolar RNA from Chlorocebus sabaeus (green monkey), 123 nucleotides. NCBI's taxonomy places the organism in Eukaryota, Metazoa, Chordata, Mammalia, Primates, Cercopithecidae. The record is from Ensembl.
GUUCCCUUUUAAGGCUGACCCAGUGCUUUAAGAGGCUGAUACAGAAGGGUAAAGUUAAGUCUCCACAAAACCCAGGGAAGAGACUGUGAAACUCCUCUUGGAACCUUGUAUGGAGUCAUAGCU